This 446-nucleotide ribosomal RNA is filed under the name uncultured bacterium. RNAcentral's name for it is "partial 16S ribosomal RNA". It matches the Rfam family "Bacterial small subunit ribosomal RNA", at positions 338 to 795 of the family's 1533-position model. The record is from RNAcentral.
CCUACGGGUGGCAGCAGUCGAGAAUCAUUCACAAUGGGGGAAACCCUGAUGGUGCGACGCCGCGUGGGGGAAUGAAGGUCUUCGGAUUGUAAACCCCUGUCAUGUGGGAGCCACUUAAAAAGAUAGUACCACAAGAGGAAGCGGCGGCUAACUCUGUGCCAGCAGCCGCGGUAAUACAGAGGUCUCAAGCGUUGUUCGGAAUCACUGGGCGUAAAGCGUGCGUAGGCUGUUUCGUAAGUCGUGUGUGAAAGGGGCGGGCUCAACCCGCGGACGGCACAUGAUACUGCGAGACUAGAGUAAUGGAGGGGGAACCGGAAUUAUCGGUGUAGCAGUGAAAUGCGUAGAUAUCGAGAGGAACACUCGUGGCGAAGGCGGGUUCCUGGACAUUAACUGACGCUGAGGCACGAAGGCCAGGGGAGCGAAAGGGAUUAGAUACCCGGGUAGUC